This is a long non-coding RNA of Amphimedon queenslandica, 283 nucleotides long. RefSeq lists it as uncharacterized. Lineage: Eukaryota; Metazoa; Porifera; Demospongiae; Haplosclerida; Niphatidae. The transcript has 3 exons. The record is from RefSeq and is a predicted model, not a curated record.
CUUUUAUAUUAUUAUUCAGUUAAAGGUGAUGAUAGUAAUGACUUUAUAAGCAGUGUAUUAGAAGAAAUGACACUAGAACAGGAAAAGUUGAUUGAAGAGAAACAGAUUAUUACUGAAGAUUAUGAGAAACUUAAACUCAAAGUUGCUGAUGUGGAGGAAGAAUAUCUCAAGGAGAAACAGAUCAUUAUUGACGACAAUCAAAGUCUCAUUUCUGAGAAAGACAAAGUUAUAGCCAAACUGACAUCACAAGUAGAGGAACAAUCACAGAAUGAGAAACAGAUCA